RNAcentral lists this ribosomal RNA (468 nucleotides) under uncultured bacterium. RNAcentral describes it as "partial 16S ribosomal RNA". It matches the Rfam family "Bacterial small subunit ribosomal RNA", at positions 28 to 507 of the family's 1533-position model. The record is from RNAcentral.
GACGAACGCUGGCGGCGUGCCUAACACAUGCAAGUCGAACGGACAGGCCCUGCUUUUGCUGGGUGCUCGAGUGGCGAACGGGUGUGUAACACGUGAGUAUCCUGCCCUUGACUGUGUGAUAUCUUCAGGAAACUGGGGCUAAUACCGGAUAGGAGCUCCUGCUGCAUGGUGGUGGUUGGAAAGUUUCGGCGGUUGGGGAUGUACUCGCGGCUUAUCAGCUUGUUGGUGGGGUAGUUGCUUACCAAGGCUUUGACGGCUAGCCGGCCUGGGAGGUGGACCGGCGACCUGGGGACUACGGGAGGGCGCAGACGGCAACGGGAGGCAGAGGUGGGGAGUAUUGCACAGUGGGCGGAAGCCUGAUACAGAAGUGCUCCGAGCGGGAUGACGGCCUUCGGGUGGUGAACCGCUUUCGCCUGAGACGAGGCGGGAGUGACGGUAAUGGGUAAAGAAGCACCGGCUAACUACGUG